AGAGUUUGAUCCUGGCUCAGGAUGAACGCUGGCGGCGUGCUUAACACAUGCAAGUCGAACGAAGCACUUUAAUUGAUUUCUUCGGAAUGAAGUUUUUGUGACUGAGUGGCGGACGGGUGAGUAACGCGUGGGUAACCUGCCUCAUACAGGGGGAUAACAGUUGGAAACGACUGCUAAUACCGCAUAAGCGCACAGGAUUGCAUGAUCCAGUGUGAAAAACUCCGGUGGUAUGAGAUGGACCCGCGUCUGAUUAGCCAGUUGGCGGGGUAACGGCCCACCAAAGCGACGAUCAGUAGCCGACCUGAGAGGGUGACCGGCCACAUUGGGACUGAGACACGGCCCAA
Molecule: ribosomal RNA, 344 nt
Filed under: uncultured bacterium
Lineage: Bacteria
Description: bacterial SSU rRNA
Rfam family: Bacterial small subunit ribosomal RNA
Source: RNAcentral